This 381-nucleotide ribosomal RNA is filed under the name uncultured soil bacterium. Its description in RNAcentral is "bacterial SSU rRNA". It matches the Rfam family "Bacterial small subunit ribosomal RNA", at positions 26 to 412 of the family's 1533-position model. The record is from RNAcentral.
AGAUUGAACGCUGGCGGCAUGCCUUACACAUGCAAGUCGAACGGCAGCACGGGAGCAAUCCUGGUGGCGAGUGGCGAACGGGUGAGUAAUAUAUCGGAACGUGCCCAGUCGUGGGGGAUAACGCAGCGAAAGCUGUGCUAAUACCGCAUACGAUCUAUGGAUGAAAGCGGGGGAUCGCAAGACCUCGCGCGAUUGGAGCGGCCGAUAUCAGAUUAGCUAGUUGGUGGGGUAAAAGCCUACCAAGGCGACGAUCUGUAGCUGGUCUGAGAGGACGACCAGCCACACUGGAACUGAGACACGGUCCAGACUCCUACGGGAGCAGCAGUGGGAAUUUGGACAAUGGGCGCAAGCCUGAUCCAGCAAUGCCGCGUGCAGGAUGAA